Molecule: long non-coding RNA, 948 nt
Filed under: Sus scrofa (pig)
Lineage: Eukaryota; Metazoa; Chordata; Mammalia; Artiodactyla; Suidae
Description: lncRNA (ENSSSCG00070007912.1)
Source: RNAcentral
CUCGGCCCACAUCUAUUUUCUGCAAAAAGUUUCCUCUUAAUGUUUGGCUGGAUCUUCGUGUUCUCGGCGUUUUGGUUCCCGCACUGACGUUUGUUCAGAGACAGUGGACAGUGUGUUUGUGUCCAUUCCAUGUGUGUGUUUCUGCUUUUCUGACUGGCACUUGUUACAACGUUGGAACUUACAAGGUUAAGCUGACUGUCCAAUGUGAAGUAUCCAGAAUAUUUUUUAUCUUUGUAAAUGUUCCAUGUGCACUUGAAAAAAUUAGGGUUUUUGUGGAUUUGUUUGUUGUUGAAUCAAACUGAGCCAUAAAAGUGACAAUGCCAAAUCUUUAACUGCUAGGCCACUAAGGAACUCAUUUUAUUUUAUUUUUUAAUUAAUAUUUUUUGCUGUUGUUGGUUGCAGUGCUCUGUAAAUAUCAGGUCGAUGACAGUGUUUUUCAAAUUUUCUGUUUUAAACUGAUUCUCUGCCUACUUGUUCUAACAGUUACUGAGAGUAUAAGCGGAACAUCUGGAUUAUAAUUGUGGAUUUAUCUCCUUCUCCUAACUUUAUCAGAUUUUCUUUCAUGUAUUUUGAUGUUAUUAUUAAGUGCAUAAACAUUUAUGAUUAUUUUCUCUUGAUGAACUACCUUAUUAUUAUGAAAUGAUCUCAAGAAAACCCACACCCAUUGGUCUGAUCCUCAAGGUCUGCCAUACACUCCUACUCCACUCUCUACCAGUCACUUUCUAUCAUAGUACAUUCUUAUAGUUAACCUCACAAAUGUCACACAAAUAACACAAUCACACACAUGGUCACAGAAAUGCACCAUGCUCACUCCAACAUUCAAGAUUUUUGCAUGGUCUCUCAACACACACGACAGGAUCAAAAGGUCAUGCAGUAACCGACAAAAUCAGUCAUGUGACAGAAACCAAAACAAAUAAAUUAUAAACACUAUUGUUCUAAGGGGGUAUA